UGGGGAAUAUUGGACAAUGGGGGCAACCCUGAUCCAGCAAUGCCGCGUGAGUGAUGAAGGCCUUAGGGUUGUAAAGCUCUUUCGGCGGGGACGAUGAUGACGGUACCCGCAGAAGAAGCCCCGGCUAACUUCGUGCCAGCAGCCGCGGUAAUACGAAGGGGGCGAGCGUUGUUCGGAAUUACUGGGCGUAAAGGGCGCGCAGGCGGCCUACGUAGUCAGGCGUGAAAGCCCCGGGCUUAACCUGGGAAUUGCGUUUGAUACUCGUGGGCUUGAGUAUGGGAGAGGAGAGUGGAAUUCCCAGUGUAGAGGUGAAAUUCGUAGAUAUUGGGAAGAACACCAGUGGCGAAGGCGGCUCUCUGGACCAUAACUGACGCUGAGGCGCGAAAGCGUGGGGAGCAAACAGGAUUAGAUACCCCUGUAGUCC
RNAcentral lists this ribosomal RNA (424 nucleotides) under uncultured bacterium. RNAcentral's name for it is "bacterial SSU rRNA". It matches the Rfam family "Bacterial small subunit ribosomal RNA", at positions 355 to 796 of the family's 1533-position model. The record is from RNAcentral.